RNAcentral lists this unclassified non-coding RNA (329 nucleotides) under soil metagenome. RNAcentral's name for it is "partial contains 5.8S ribosomal RNA, internal transcribed spacer 2, and large subunit ribosomal RNA". The stretch from base 1 to 120 matches the Rfam family "5.8S ribosomal RNA", at positions 35 to 154 of the family's 154-position model. The record is from RNAcentral.
GAUGAAGAACGUAGCGAAAUGCGAUAAGUAGUGUGAAUUGCAGAAUUCAGUGAAUCAUCGAAUCUUUGAACGCACAUUGCGCCCCUUGAUAUCCCGAGGGGCAUGCCUGUUCGAGCGUCAUUUCACCACUCAAGCCUGGCUUGGUGUUGGGCGACGUCCUCUUUGGGGACGCGCCUCGAAACGCUCGGCGGCGUGGCACCGGCUUUAAGCGUAGCAGAAUCUUUCGCUUUGGAAGUCGGGGCCCCGUCUGCCGGAAGACCUGCUCGCAAGGUUGACCUCGGAUCAGGCAGGGAUACCCGCUGAACUUAAGCAUAUCAAUAAGCGGAGGA